AUGUUGCCGUACUCGCGGAGCACAUGCCGGCUGGCCGCCAGCUUCUCCGGCUCCAGCAUCAGCACCUUGUUUAUGUUAUCCAGGAUCGGACGGCCUCCUGGGUGCACCGCCCAGAAGAGGUCGUUCCACCUCCCGUUCCCAUUCCCAGAGCAUGGGGAUGGCGGAGGAGCAGCACCACCGUCGUCGUCGUCGACAAUGGCGCUACGGAAUGCGUCGAGGAGGCAUUGCUCCACGUUCUGCCCGACGAGCGUGGGCACCUGGAUGGCCAGGUGGAAGUCGACGCCGCCCCCGGAGACCCGCAUGCCCAGCGCGUGCUCGGUCCUGGGAAUCGUGGUCUGCGUGGCGGAGACCAUCUCGAAGAUCGGGCGCCGCUCGCCGUCGAGGAAAGGGCCGGCCCCGAUGACGACGGCGCCCCAGGCGACGAGGACGCGCGCGCCGCGGUUGUUCUCGGCCAGCUCCUUGGCGAGGCUCAGCGCCCUGCCGCCGCCGUAG
This 492-nucleotide ribosomal RNA is filed under the name Triticum aestivum (bread wheat). RNAcentral's name for it is "partial small subunit ribosomal RNA". The record is from RNAcentral. Lineage: Eukaryota; Viridiplantae; Streptophyta; Magnoliopsida; Poales; Poaceae.